This 1167-nucleotide ribosomal RNA is filed under the name uncultured fungus. RNAcentral's name for it is "eukaryotic LSU rRNA". The stretch from base 533 to 1167 matches the Rfam family "Eukaryotic large subunit ribosomal RNA", at positions 1 to 649 of the family's 3401-position model. The record is from RNAcentral. Lineage: Eukaryota; Fungi.
AAGUCGUAACAAGGUUUCCGUAGGUGAACCUGCGGAAGGACCAUUAUCGAGAGGGGCUUCGCGCUCCGGGGGGUUUCGGCCCCCGCCUCUGCACCCCGUGGUUACCUACCUCGUCGCUGCUUUGGCGGGCCUGGAGCGGUUCUGCUCACGCCCGCCAAACGCGGCCCCCCCCCCCCCCCUUCUGUUCACCCGACGACGUCCGAGUUUCAUGAUCAAAGAAUCAAAACUUUCCACCACGGAACUCUUGGUUCUGGCGUCCAUGAAAAACGCAACGGAAUGGGAUAAGGAAUGGGAAUUGCAGAAAUCAGUGAAUCCUCCAAUCUUUGAACGGNCAUUGGGCCCCUCGGGAUCCCGGGGGGCAUGCCUGUUCGAGCGUCAUGCGCCCUUCAAGCUCCGCUGGUCGUGGGUUUCGCCCGCCCGGCGAGCCCGAAAAUCAGUGGGGGUCCGGGGGACUUUCAGCGCAGUCAAUGUUUUCCCGCUUCGAAAGUGUCCCCCGCGGCCCGCCAGACAACCCCGUCCACUGUUCAAUGAUUGACCUCGGAUCAGGUAGGGAUAUCCCGCUGAACUUAAGCAUAUCAAUAAGCGGAGGAAAAGAAACCAACAGGGAUGGCCUCAGUAACGGCGAGUGAAGCGGCAUCAGCUCAAAUUUGAAAUCUGGCUCCCGCGGGGCCCGAGUUGUAAUUUGGAGAGGGUGUUUCGGGUGCGGAGCCGGUCUAAAUCCCUUGGAACAGGGUGUCGCAGAGGGUGAGAAUCCCGUACGUGACCGGCGACCAACCCCCGGUGAAACCCCUUCGACGAGUCGAGUUGUUUGGGAAUGCAGCUCCAAAUGGGUGGUAAAUUCCAUCUAAAGCUAAAUACCGGCCGGAGACCGAUAGCGCACAAGUAGAGUGAUCGAAAGAUGAAAAGCACUUUGGAAAGAGAGUUAAACAGUACGUGAAAUUGUUGAAAGGGAAGCGCUGGCGACCAGACCUCGUUCCGGGCGAUCACCGGCCCGUUUCGGGUCGUGCACUCGUCCGGAUCCAGGCCAGCAUCGGUUUGGGCGGUCGGAUAAAGGCGGGCAGGAUGUGGCUCCUUCCGGGGAGUGUUAUACCUGCGCGCGCAAUGCGGCCAGCCGGGACCGAGGACCGCGCUUCGGCUAGGAUGCUGGCGUAAUGGUCGUCAGCGACC